GAUCUGGUGGUGUAGUUGGUUAUCACGUCAGUCUAACAGUCGAAUUCUUCCUCUGAGUGCACUGAAGGUCUCCGGUUCAAGUCCGGGCUAGAUCA
This 95-nucleotide transfer RNA is filed under the name Colletotrichum orbiculare MAFF 240422. RNAcentral's name for it is "tRNA-Val for anticodon AAC". It matches the Rfam family "tRNA". From Rfam's summary of the family: Transfer RNA (tRNA) molecules are approximately 80 nucleotides in length. Their secondary structure includes four short double-helical elements and three loops (D, anti-codon, and T loops). Further hydrogen bonds mediate the characteristic L-shaped molecular structure. tRNAs have two regions of fundamental functional importance: the anti-codon, which is responsible for specific mRNA codon recognition, and the 3' end, to which the tRNAs corresponding amino acid is attached (by aminoacyl-tRNA synthetases). tRNAs cope with the degeneracy of the genetic code in two manners: having more than one tRNA (with a specific anti-codon) for a particular amino acid; and 'wobble' base-pairing, i.e. permitting non-standard base-pairing at the 3rd anti-codon position. The record is from Rfam by way of RNAcentral. Lineage: Eukaryota; Fungi; Ascomycota; Sordariomycetes; Glomerellales; Glomerellaceae.